RNAcentral lists this ribosomal RNA (383 nucleotides) under uncultured bacterium. RNAcentral describes it as "bacterial SSU rRNA". It matches the Rfam family "Bacterial small subunit ribosomal RNA", at positions 29 to 429 of the family's 1533-position model. The record is from RNAcentral.
AACGAACGCUGGCGGCAGGCCUAACACAUGCAAGUCGAACGCCGUAGCAAUACGGAGUGGCAGACGGGUGAGUAACGCGUGGGAACAUACCCCUCGGUUCGGAAUAACUCAGGGAAACUUGAGCUAAUACCGGAUACGUCCGAGGUUUUGAUCGACCUUGGAGAAAGAUUUAUCGCCGAAGGAUUGGCCCGCGUCUGAUUAGCUUGUUGGUGAGGUAAUGGCUCACCAAGGCGACGAUCAGUAGCUGGUCUGAGAGGAUGAUCAGCCACAUUGGGACUGAGACACGGCCCAAACUCCUACGGGAGGCAGCAGUGGGGAAUAUUGGACAAUGGGCGAAAGCCUGAUCCAGCCAUGCCGCGUGAGUGAUGAAGGCCUGGUGUAAG